RNAcentral lists this ribosomal RNA (270 nucleotides) under uncultured archaeon. RNAcentral describes it as "partial 16S ribosomal RNA". It matches the Rfam family "Archaeal small subunit ribosomal RNA", at positions 477 to 747 of the family's 1478-position model. The record is from RNAcentral.
CAGCACCUCAAGUGGUCAGGAUGAUUAUUGGGCCUAAAGCAUCCGUAGCCGGCGCUGUAAGUUUUCGGUUAAAUCUGUACGCUCAACGUACAGGCUGCCGGGAAUACUGCAGCGCUAGGGAGUGGGAGAGGUAGACGGUACUCGGUAGGAAGGGGUAAAAUCCUUUGAUCUAUUGAUGACCACCUGUGGCGAAGGCGGUCUACCAGAACAUGUCCGACGGUGAGGGAUGAAAGCUGGGGGAGCAAACCGGAUUAGAUACCCGCGUAGUCC